This is a long non-coding RNA of Stegodyphus dumicola, 350 nucleotides long. Lineage: Eukaryota; Metazoa; Arthropoda; Arachnida; Araneae; Eresidae. The record is from RefSeq and is a predicted model, not a curated record.
UCUAACUGUCCCAUUUACAUGGUGUCUGUUCAAUUUCAUGGUUUCCGAUUUUCCUGUUUUGCCUAACGUAGGGCUGUGAUUAUUUUGACAAAACAUUGAACUCCACGAAAACAAAGCCAUUCAUUAUGAAUAUCACUUUCAGUUGGAAGACAUAAAAAAAAGUCAAACAUCACUGUUUCGUAAUGUGGACCUCAUUAAUGAAAUCUGAACCAAAAUCCUCUGAAGGAAUCUGAUCUAAUAAAGGUACGAGGAAACGAAAUGAAUCAAAGAAAAGGAAGAAUGCAGUAAUUGAUUUAAUAUAUACGCAUUCUUCUAUUCAAGUGCCACUGUACAGCGUAAAAACGUCAAGA